RNAcentral lists this ribosomal RNA (463 nucleotides) under uncultured Acholeplasma sp. Its description in RNAcentral is "bacterial SSU rRNA". It matches the Rfam family "Bacterial small subunit ribosomal RNA", at positions 910 to 1380 of the family's 1533-position model. The record is from RNAcentral. Lineage: Bacteria; Bacillati; Mycoplasmatota; Mollicutes; Acholeplasmatales; Acholeplasmataceae.
UUGACGGACCCGCACAGCGGUGGAUCAUGUUGUUUAAUUCGUAUGAUACGCGAAGAACCUUACCAGGUCUUGACAUCCCCCGCGAUGCUUUAGAGAUAAAGCGGAGGUAUUCGGGGAGACAGGUGGUGCAUGGUUGUCGUCAGCUCGUGUCGUGAGAUGUUGGGUUAAGUCCCGCAACGAGCGCAACCCUAUUGCUAGUUACCAUCAUUAAGUUGGGGACUCUAGCGAGACUGCCAGUGAUAAACUGGAGGAAGGUGGGGAUGAUGUCAAAUCAUCAUGCCCCUUAUGGCCUGGGCUACAAACGUGAUACAAUGGCUGGAACAAAGGGAUGCGAAGCAGUGAUGUGGAGCGAAACCCAUAAAAACAGUCUCAGUUCGGAUUGAAGUCUGCAACUCGACUUCAUGAAGUCGGAAUCGCUAGUAAUCGCGGAUCAGAACCGCCGCGGUGAAUACGUUCUCGGGUU